CGGCGGACGGGUGAGUAACGCGUGGGUAACCUACCCUGUACACACGGAUAACAUACCGAAAGGUAUGCUAAUACGGGAUAAUAUAUUUGAGAGGCAUCUCUUAAAUAUCAAAGGUGAGCCAGUACAGGAUGGACCCGCGUCUGAUUAGCUAGUUGGUAAGGUAACGGCUUACCAAGGCGACGAUCAGUAGCUGACCUGAGAGGGUGAUCGGCCACAUUGGAACUGAGACACGGUCCAA
RNAcentral lists this ribosomal RNA (238 nucleotides) under uncultured bacterium. RNAcentral describes it as "partial 16S ribosomal RNA". It matches the Rfam family "Bacterial small subunit ribosomal RNA", at positions 96 to 334 of the family's 1533-position model. The record is from RNAcentral.